RNAcentral lists this ribosomal RNA (465 nucleotides) under uncultured bacterium. Its description in RNAcentral is "partial 16S ribosomal RNA". It matches the Rfam family "Bacterial small subunit ribosomal RNA", at positions 339 to 795 of the family's 1533-position model. The record is from RNAcentral.
CUACGGGCGGCAGCAGUGGGGAAUAUUGGACAAUGGGGGAAACCCUGAUCCAGCAAUGCCGCGUGUGUGAAGAAGGCCUGCGGGUUGUAAAGCACUUUCGGUUGGGAGGACUGCUUCUAGCACUAAUAUUGUUGGAAGUUGACGUUACCUUCAGAAGAAGCACCGGCUAACUCCGUGCCAGCAGCCGCGGUAAUACGGAGGGUGCAAGCGUUAAUCGGAAUUACUGGGCGUAAAGCGCGCGUAGGCGGCUAGAUCAGUCGGGUGUGAAAGCCCCGGGCUUAACCUGGGAACUGCAUCCGAUACUGUCUAGCUUGAGUACAGGAGAGGAGAGUGGAAUUCCACAUGUAGCGGUGAAAUGCGUAGAUAUGUGGAGGAACACCAAUGGCAAAGGCAGCUCUCUGGCCUGAUACUGACGCUGAGGUACGAAAGCGUGGGGAGCAAACAGGAUUAGAUACCCGUGUAGUC